Molecule: long non-coding RNA, 657 nt
Organism: Pygocentrus nattereri (red-bellied piranha)
Lineage: Eukaryota; Metazoa; Chordata; Actinopteri; Characiformes; Serrasalmidae
Exons: 7
Source: RefSeq, a predicted model, not a curated record
GAGCCUGUUUGCAGUAUGGACAGGGCUGUGGCUGGUGGUAACCGUACCUGACUAGUGACUAGUAGCACUCAGCUUGCUGGGCCUCUUGGAGAACCUAUCUACAUGGUAGAUGAAGGUGCCUGUUUGCAGCAUGGACAGGGCUGUGGCUGGUCGUAACUACCCGAGGUGACUAGUAGCACUCUGCUUACUUGGCCUCUUGGAGAACCCGUCUACACAGUAGAUGAGGGCUGCUGCAAAUGAAGCUGUCUGUCUGCAGGACGGCCAGGGCUGUGGCUGAGGACUACUAUGCCUGAGGACUGCCUUUGUAGGACCGCGUGGCUCUGGAUUACUAGUAGCACUUGGCCUAAUGCUCCGUCAUUUCCAGCUACAGAUGGAUGAACCCUGCUACAAGUAAAGGUUCCUGUUUUGAAAGGCUGUGGCUGGAGGCAUGCAAUGCCGGAGGUUUAUCAGUGCUCCCUUUGACUGCUGCGUCCAGUUAAUGGUGGGGGGGUUCCUGGAGCAAGAUGGGAACCACACCAUGCUGCUGGUGAAGACUCUUGGUUUACCAGAGAACUUUAACAUCCAGCGUGUUUUAGCCAUAGACAGCACUUGAAUGCACUGCUCAUUGUAACACUUAGCAUAAUUCAUCUUUAUGGAAUAAAUUGUUACUGUACAUAA